RNAcentral lists this ribosomal RNA (109 nucleotides) under Takifugu rubripes (torafugu). The record is from RNAcentral. Lineage: Eukaryota; Metazoa; Chordata; Actinopteri; Tetraodontiformes; Tetraodontidae.
GCUUACGGCCAUACCACCCUGAGAACGCCCGAUCUCGGAAGCUAAGCAGGGUCGGGCCUGGUUAGUACUUGGAUGGGAGACCGCCUGGGAAUACCAGGAGCUGUAAGCU